GAUGAACGCUAGCUACAGGCUUAACACAUGCAAGUCGAGGGGAAACGACAUCGAAAGCUUGCUUUUGAUGGGCGUCGACCGGCGCACGGGUGAGUAACGCGUAUCCAACCUGCCCACCACUUGGGGAUAACCUUGCGAAAGUAAGACUAAUACCCAAUGAUAUCCCACGAAGACAUCUGAAUGGGAUUAAAGAUUUAUCGGUGAUGGAUGGGGAUGCGUCUGAUUAGCUUGUUGGCGGGGUAACGGCCCACCAAGGCAACGAUCAGUAGGGGUUCUGAGAGGAAGGGCCCCCACAUUGGAACUGAGACACGGUCCAAACUCCUACGGGAGGCAGCAGUGAGGAAUAUUGGUCAAUGGGCGAGAGCCUGAACCAGCCAAGUAGCGUGCAGGAAGACGGCCCUAUGGGUUGUAAACUGCUUUUAUAAGGGAAUAAAGUGGGUCACGUGUGACUUUUUGCAUGUACCUUAUGAAUAAGGACCGGCUAAUUCCGUG
RNAcentral lists this ribosomal RNA (492 nucleotides) under uncultured bacterium. Its description in RNAcentral is "partial 16S ribosomal RNA". It matches the Rfam family "Bacterial small subunit ribosomal RNA", at positions 28 to 507 of the family's 1533-position model. The record is from RNAcentral.